GACGAACGCUGGCGGCGUGCUUAACACAUGCAAGUCGAACGGAAAGGCCCUGCUUUUGUGGGGUGCUCGAGUGGCGAACGGGUGCGUAACACGUGAGUAACCUGCCCUUGACUUUGGGAUAACUUCAGGAAACUGGGGCUAAUACCGGAUAGGAGCUCCUGCUGCAUGGUGGGGGUUGGAACGUUUCGGCUGUUGGGGAUGGACUCGCGGCUUAUCAGCUUGUUGGUGGGGUAGUGGUUUACCCAGGCUUUGACGGGUAGCCGGCCUGUGAGGGGGACCGGGCACAAUGGGACUGAGGGACGGACCAGUCGGGUACGGGAGGCAGCAGGGGGGAAUAUGGCACAAUGGGAGGAAGCCUGAUGCAGCGACGCCGCGGGCGGGAUGACGGCCUGCGGGUAGUAAACCGCUUUCGCCUGUGACGAAGCGGGAGUGACGGUAAUGGGUAAAGAAGCACCGGCUAACUACGUG
RNAcentral lists this ribosomal RNA (468 nucleotides) under uncultured bacterium. Its description in RNAcentral is "partial 16S ribosomal RNA". It matches the Rfam family "Bacterial small subunit ribosomal RNA", at positions 28 to 507 of the family's 1533-position model. The record is from RNAcentral.